CCAGCCGCGGCGCAUUCGUAAACAAACCCUGGUUCAGUUCGGACGCUGCGAACACCCGAAGACCCCCUUCACCCUCCACCAUCAGUGUAACACACUUCGGCUUCUUACUUCGUCGAGACCGCCGGCACGGGAAAAUGUAGGCGAGCGGGCACCACGGUGCGGAGCGCGACAGUUUACCUGCGCCCUACGGGGUCGGUGCUUGAACAAUCCGUACGCGACGAUAACAGCCGUGAUUAGAAUUUGUGAAAUUCCUUCACGCUUCGAACAAAUAUGAGAAGAGAACUGCGAUAAUAGUUUAGAGCAGAGCUCGUAGUGUUUGAUCCAAAACCGUCGGCACCAUCUGCCUCCUCUAGUACUGCACACUGAGGCGCAGCAUUGGGAACGUCGGAAUCGAAAAGCAAAAGCCAAAUAUGUAACGUAAGCCGCAUCAGCUAUAACAAAGACGAGAGAGGGGAGAGGGAGCGAAAGAGCGAGAGAAGGGAGCGAUAGAGGGAGAGAGAGAAAGGGCUCCGUUCGUUCGCGGUUGAAUCCGCGAAUGAGGGAGCUAGGCGGAUGUUAACGCGGAUUGUCUCCGCUCGGUCGAGCGUACCUUUUUGGGCGCCGUGAUAGUUAGCACACCAUCCGAGGAGAGGGUCGAGGUGAUGUUGACGAGGUCGUGAGACGGAGGUAGGACGUAUCUGCGUACGAAGUGUCUGCUGAUGUAGCCGUGCUCGUCCUGCUUCUCCUCGUGCUUGGCCUCGACAACGACGUGAUUGUCGACCGUCUUCACCGAGAUUUCGUCCGGUGAGAAUUGUUGCACGUCCAGUAUCACCUGCGGAUCAGAGAGCGCAGCCCCGCGGGAAGGGGGCUUUUGUCACUUAGCUUCGCUCAGGAUCCCCUCUCGUCCGUCACCGAGGAAUAGAAGUCUCUCGCAUUUCUUCCGUGAGCGAUCGUAAAACAGCCGCCAUGCAUCCGUAAUGCGAAAGUUAAGUAUCAAUAUCACUCCCGAAUGAGCUUACUCCGAAAAAUGAUGGUCGAUUUUUGAGAGCAAUAAGACCCACCACUCUUUUCUUACACCGCGCGAAUUAGUGUUUCUUUAAUUUUGAUGUUACGUUCUUGCUUGAUUGAAUUUUCGUCUGGAAGAGGAUCUCGAACGCCGCUGUGCAUAUUCUAGCGCACAUUCUAAAUCCUAAAACAUCGUACGCGUUAGGCGAGCUAUUUCACGCACAAUAAUUCCGGCUUACCAUCUGAAACAGCGCUUCGUCAGAUAAAUCUCACAUUCGUCCUUUUCACACCCUCCGCGUUCAAGGAAUCGCCGAUCAGGCCCGGUUGUUGGAGUUUCUCCGCGACGAGCGAGGAAAAUGACAAUUCAGCUAACGUUCUAGAUCCUAUCCCGACCGUCAGAUAAGAGCAUCGUAAAAAAUAAUAUUUUCUUCUCGUCUCGAUUCACUCAUAUGUAACCCGCGUUUAUUUAGAUUAUUGCACGUUAUGGUACAAAAGCAAACUGGGAAGAUGUAGUUGUCGGCGCACCUACUUGUGUGAAAUUGUUCCUUUUUUUUUUUACGAUCAAAAAAACGAGCACACAUACAAGUAGGUGAUUUGCGGUCCUUUGCGACCGCCGGGGCGGCUCGCUUCGGCGAGAGAGGAAAUAAAAUUCCUUCAUCAAUAAAAACAAAACAAAACCAAAAAAAAAACAACAAAAAAACAGAAGAGAGAGGUAAACAACAUUUUGACGAGAGGAAGCUUUAACAACGUAUAAGUAUAGUGAGGCAAGCGUGCCCGAGUUUCUCCGGGUGAUCCUGCGUGAUCCUGGAGCUCGGCGGCGAACGCGAGCGCGAAGAGAUUAGCGGAGGAUAACUGGCUGUGUAUUUUUGAAAAUAGUACUAAAAGAAAAGAAAAAGUAGGAGGGAGGAGGAAGAAAAGGUUUGCUGAGCGACCGCUCCGCGGACGGUCGGCUCGAGUGUUGCGCGCAGACAUAUUUUGUACAAAUAAAAGAGAUAGAGAGAAACGCGAGUUCCGUGUAAGAAGGAGAGAAAAAAAAGCACAAAAGUCAUUUUGUAAGAUUCUAUUGUUGUGGGUAUUCAAAAAGCAUUUAUUUUUGUAUAGAGAUUAUAAAAACAGGGCGGGGGAUCGGGCCCCGUGGGUCCCAUUCGCGUGAGCGGCGCACCCUUUGAAGGGGUGCGUCAGCGCUCGUGGGGGACGGCACGAGCCUCGGUUCUUCCAUUCGAACAAGACUGACUAAGCGCGAGACGCGAUACAUCUACUCUUUCGGUUGCAUAUUUUAUUCCGUGGCUGCUGCGCGCGAUUUCUCGCGCGCGAACCCUCAACGAAAAAUCAUAAGACGUUAAUAACGAACGGCAUAGUAGUCACCUCGGACCCUGCGGCAGGCAAACCGUGCGCGCGAUUGCGCGAGGAAAAAAUAUCGCGGAAAGAGAAGGAAAAGUAGAAGUAACAAAGAAGAAAUAUACAUACAUACAUACAUACACAUAUUAUAUAUAUAUACACACACACAAUACGAUUAAAGAAGGGGGAGGUAAAAUGAGAACUGUGGUAAAACUGUGAUUUUAUAGAGAUUCCGAAACCGGCGUGACUAACCGGAGAUCGUGCAGCGCGAUCGUCCUUUUUUUGAUACGCGUACCUUUCGUAGAACAUUUUCGGGCAAAACGAGAAGGAUAAUUGGUCCCUUUAGACUGAAAUCUGCUAACAUCGUGACUAUUACUAUACAUUGCACAACUGGAUUAUGUCCAAAUAGGGCGAUUAGAUGAACUAUCAUACCGUAGGAGAAGCUAAAUUCUUUUCGGCACAAACGAAAUCAUUGUAAAAGGGGACAGAUAAACGCCGUGGAUGUUUUCUUGACGAGCAUUAGAUUAUUCGAACCUUUGCGGGGAAGAGGAAAAAAAGAAAAAGAAGUAAUAAAGAGAAAUAACUAAUAAAAGAGAGCAAAACAGAAGGAAAAGUCGUCUCUCCAAUCCGAUUUACUCGCCCUCCCUCGUCCAGAGGGAGGUGCAAAAAACGCCCCCUAUCCCUCCCAAAAAAUAGUCCUAAUCGAAUACUCGUUUCACCAUCCCUAUCCGUCGAAAAAUCGAGUUGCCGCCCUCCCGGUUGAUUCGCGAUCGCGCGAUUAUGAAAGCGUAAUUAUGACGCGUUAUGAUGCACAAUGUAUGCAUGGCACAACGAUAGAGACAGCGGCAACCGCAGCAGAUGCAGUCAUCAGUUUUUCGGGCCUUCUGGUGUUCCGGAACUUUUUCGUUCGUUGCUUUUAACCAUUCUUACCGAGCGUUGAGUUUCACCCGUCCCUUACGUUUAGUUUCAUCCCCUGCCGCGGUUUCUUUUUCUUUUUAACGGCUGAUUCGUUCCCUUCGAAAGUAACGUUCGAGUAGAUAGAGUCUCUAUUUCGAUUUUUCCGUUAACACCUUUUUUCUCCCCUCGUUCUUCCUUUCCCUUCCCUCCCCUCUCCUCCUCCCAUUCCCUCCCCUCCCCUACUCCAUCCCUUUUAAUUUUCUUUCUUACGAAUGCGCCCUUUUGUCCUUUCCUGUUACGCCACUUCCGUCAUCUUUCAUCAUUUGUCUCCUGCGACUUUUCUAUAUUUCGAAAUCUAAUUACGAUUCGCUGUUCGUUUUUUUGCUAGAAGAUAACGUAAACGAAAGUAUCUUCCCCUAUAACUACACUUAUUAAAUAUUGUACUUUUUUUUCGUAGGAUAUCACUUGAGGCUCUUUGUAUUCGACACAAAAUUUGUUUUGCGUCCGAUGCAAAUCGCGCUCGAGUUACCGAUACCAAAAUAAGGAGUUAAGAACCGCUAAAGAGUUUAAGUCGUGUCUUAGCCUAAGUUGUUAGCACACUCACAAUUGAGCACAUUCCGUUCGUUGUUGCAUCACCGAACUUUCUCGAGGAAAUAAAUGUAAUUGUAGCACAGAGUGAUCUCGAAUUCAUGAAUUUAGAACUGUCAGGUGAAUCAAUGUUGCACGCACGACAAAGUGCGAAUGUAAUUUGAUGAGCCGAAGACCGUGCAAAAUUCGUGAGUUUCGGAGCUUUUAGGCAAGUUACAUAUUCGACGUAAACAACCAAUAAUACAGCACGAAAAAGAUCGUUACUUCAGACCGUGACUAAGUUAUCGCACACAGCGAACGUGAUUAUAUUUUAUUUGUUGUUGCAUUACCGAACUUCCAGAAAAAUAAGAUAAAUAACGAUUACAGCAUAACCCUACUUACCGAUGUGAAUAAAAUUUAUGCUAAAAAAUAUAAAAAAACUGCUUGUGCUGAUAAUUUAUUUUUAAUAUACUGAUUACGUAAUAUUUUAGUUCGGGGGUAAAUAUGGAUGGUAAUAAUGAUUCAGGCAAAAGAAAAUUUGAUAACACUGCUCUAGGAGGAGGGAGGAUUGAUCUGAAAAAAAUAAAUCCAAGGAAAUUAGAUGAUUUUACAGACAUGAUUAAGAGACGUGAGGAGGAAGAAAAGAAAAAUCAAUCAGGACAGCAGUGAUCAGGACAGCAGUUAGGGUUGGGUUUAGGAUUGGGUUUGGGGUCAUUAACGAUAAUUUUAUGUUAAUUAAUGAGGGAGGUGGCGUUAUGCAUAAUAAAAGUGAAAUAAAUCGAGAAUUAGUAAAAGCGUUUAAUUAAGAAGAUAGUGGCAUUUCUUCGGCAUUCGCUUUUGCGAAUUUAUUUUAGGCGUGUCGCGACACACGCUGUAUCACGGCGAAUAAACACGUAUCUAUAGCUUGCGUAUGUAAAAUUAAACUUAUUGGGCGACUGAUGUAUAUUAAUCGAUAUUACUGUCGAGUUACUAAGUUACGCUAGAUCCGAGGCGCGAUAGCUGAACGAUCUUGAGGAUCGGGAAGUAGCAAACCUCGCGGACGUUUUAUCCAGUGUGAAAUUAAACGAAAGGUCAAAUAUCCAACGACGUCUUAUAAUCAAAAGGAUAAUAUCGCCCUUUAUCUGCACUCGAACCUCUCGGAAAGAGAGAGAAUGAGAGAGAGGCAAAGAAAGGGAGAGAAACAUUUUGUAUAAAUUGAUCAGACGAUUUAAAUUGAUUCGCGAUACUCUCGGACGCGACAGCAAGGCAUACUAUACUGAUUCCUGGAUUCUCGACUUGUCUACUAUAUGUUUUAGGAUAACUGCAAGCGUAAGAUAAUCGAUAUACCCCGCAGCGCGUGUUAAUCCUAAGCAUUAAUCGCGUGCAUAUCAGCCCGAAUUGCGAGCCUUACAUGGAUUUUUCUGACCAACACACUCGUAAAGCCGUAUAAUUCUUUGAUCCGCUCCGUGCUCGGAAACGCAACGGCUAUUGGUUCGUAAUUUUUCCGUAAUCUGAGGAAGCUAGGUAUGUCCAGCCAGCUGUGGACAGUUCCGCGGCGUUACAACGACUAAAAAUACGCGAAAAACCCGUCUAAAAAUAAACACGUUUGCAUCACACUCGCAUUCGGGGCAUUCCGUGGUAAUUUUAACGCGCGUUGCUUCUUGUUUACGCUUUCUUGCCGCACCACAAAGUCAUAUCCAACGACAAACGCACAUUUAACAGGAAAAAUAUUACGAAUAAUUUUACGUGUCAUUUUACGCGAUUUUGAGAUUACGCGACAGAAGGAAGCUUCUUCCGGAAACUAAGAGCACACGUGUAAAAGCGGCUUGCAAAAAUUAUAAGCAAUUUAGUAUAACGAUAUUCUUCUGAGGCGAAAUUAGCGGUGAGAUUUUGAAUUGCAGAUCAAUCGAAAAGUGAUAACAGUCUUAUUGUCCAUUUGCAUUAUCGGUUAUUAUUAUUCUUGAGUUAUUAUUAUCGAUUAUUACGUAAGAGCGAGAUUGAAUAUUCCCUGAACUUCUAUUAGUUCUGAAUAAUUUUCGGCCAAUUCCCAUCUUUCGCAGGAUCCUGGCUCUAUGAUCUUCGUCAGGAUCCUGCGAAAGACGGAAUUGGACCGUUACACAGCAGUACUUCCGCCCUAUAAUAUAUCUUAAGUAAGCUUUUAACACUUUCCUGACAAAAACUCAAUAACUCUACGAUGGAAAAUUUGAUCAAAAUCAACCAACGUCUCACGAAUUAAAUACACGAUACGUGAAUAUAAUUUGCAAGAUAAAAUUGAUUUCGACAAAAAGAUACGUUACUUCGGCUUUGAUAAGUCCGCCUGAUCGCAAGACCUGCGCGUUACUAGGCUAAAUUAAUGCGUAAUGCAUAAUUGAAUAUAUACAUGGACAUACUAGGAUAUAGGUAUUAAGACGACCAAAAAUAAUAAGAGGAGUUACUGGGCCUAAGCAAAAUUAUCCUUGUAAUGUAAGGUUUAUAAUUUAAGGCCGUCUUUCGUGUUUCGCCACGAACAGAUGAAACGACAAAUCGAAUGCUAAAUGAACAGAAAAAGUAGCAAAGACCAUUUUCACAGUGGAAUGUCACGUAACAUGGACGAGCACGAUCGCGAAAAAGGACGUAUUUUCUAGCUUGACAGAUUCCGUACAUAUUCUAUCGCUCUACCAAUCGAUGCAAUAAAUCGAAUAAACUUCUAAUAUUACUUCUCUAACGAACGGGAAACAAAUAACAAGCAGACAUACACUCAAAACCCUGGCAAAUAUUAAAAGAAACAAAAAUAGUUUGGCAAUAAUUUUUUGAGUAAACCUUUUGAGUAACUGCAUAUUAAAAAUAGAAAAAAAA
Temnothorax curvispinosus is the source of this 6600-nucleotide long non-coding RNA. RefSeq lists it as uncharacterized. NCBI's taxonomy places the organism in Eukaryota, Metazoa, Arthropoda, Insecta, Hymenoptera, Formicidae. The record is from RefSeq and is a predicted model, not a curated record. The transcript is spliced from 3 exons.